GGGGGUGAAAUUGGUUUCGACGGGAUUGAAGAGGCUAAGAACUGCGUAUCGUGUUCCCCGAAGACACGUUAAAAAAUUGGGACAAAACAUUAACUGGCGAAUAUAAUUACGCCCUCGCUGCGUAGGUAAACUACGGAGCCGUUCCUUAAGUCUUCGCGUAUAGGGAUUUAAUCGAACGUCGUUUAUGUACGAUAGCCUAGCGGAGUGUCUGUGACCGUAAAGCGAAUUUAAAGCAGGCAGGCUUAAAGCGAUCCUUGUUUGUUUGGUAACUUUAAGUUAAAACAAAAACAAACUAUGUAUGUAGACGUUCUUGGUGUCUUAAUUUCGGACGCGGGUUCGACUCCCGCCACCUCCACAA
This 358-nucleotide transfer-messenger RNA is filed under the name Ignavibacteriaceae. RNAcentral describes it as "CG2-30-36-16 sp019912505 Standard tmRNA". It matches the Rfam family "transfer-messenger RNA". From Rfam's summary of the family: Bacterial tmRNA, also known as 10Sa RNA or SsrA, is named for its dual tRNA and mRNA-like properties. Its role is to liberate the mRNA from a stalled ribosome. RNAcentral also lists the same sequence under 1 other name. The record is from RNAcentral. Lineage: Bacteria; Pseudomonadati; Ignavibacteriota; Ignavibacteria; Ignavibacteriales.